UUUUUCCUGUGUUUUUGAUUUGAGGUAUAACCCGCCUCCCGACUAAUUAUUAAAUGGCCGCGGUAUUUUGACCGUGCAAAGGUAGCCUAAUCAUUAGUCUUUUAAUUGAGGACUGGAAUGAAUGGUUGACCGAAAUCUAUACUUUAUUUAUUUUAUUUUAGUUGAAUUUGAUUAUUGAGUAAGAAGGCUUAAAUUUUGUUAUGGGACGAGAAGACCCUAUAGAGUUUUAUAUUAUUUUUAUUAUUUAUGUUGGUGGAUUAAAUUUAAUAGUUUUAGUAUUUGGUUGGGGUGAUUAUAGGAUAAAUUUAACUCUUAUUUCUGGUUUAAUAUUGAUUUAUAGAUUUUUGAUCCUUGAUUUUGAUUAUAAGACUAAAUUACCUUAUGGAUAACAGCGUUAUUUUUUUUUGAGAGUUCUUAUUGACAAUAAAGAUUGCGA
Molecule: ribosomal RNA, 436 nt
Filed under: Balta valida
Lineage: Eukaryota; Metazoa; Arthropoda; Insecta; Blattodea; Pseudophyllodromiidae
Description: partial 16S ribosomal RNA
Source: RNAcentral